Molecule: ribosomal RNA, 253 nt
Filed under: uncultured bacterium
Lineage: Bacteria
Description: partial 16S ribosomal RNA
Rfam family: Bacterial small subunit ribosomal RNA
Source: RNAcentral
UACAGAGGUCCCAAGCGUUGUUCGGAUUCACUGGGCGUAAAGGGUGCGUAGGUGGCGAGGUAAGUCGGAUGUGAAAGCUCGGAGCUCAACUCCGAAAUGGCAUUGGAAACUACCUUGCUCGAGGGUUGGAGGGGGGACUGGAAUUCAUGGUGUAGCAGUGAAAUGCGUAGAUAUCAUGAGGAACACCAGAGGCGAAGGCGGCUACCUGGACAGUUACUGACGCUCAGGCACGAAAGCGUGGGGAGCAAAAGGG